Tympanuchus pallidicinctus (lesser prairie-chicken) is the source of this 12531-nucleotide long non-coding RNA. RefSeq lists it as uncharacterized. NCBI's taxonomy places the organism in Eukaryota, Metazoa, Chordata, Aves, Galliformes, Phasianidae. The record is from RefSeq and is a predicted model, not a curated record. The transcript is spliced from 8 exons.
ACAACGUUCCAUUGAGGCGAGCGCGUGCUCCGGCGAGCACAUGGGCAGAGCGGCCCGCACCGCACUGCUCCGCGCCGCUCCGCUCGGCCCCGCCGCCGCCGGACCCCAGCCCGGAGAAUGGGGGGGGACGCGUCUUGGCAGUGGGAGCAACUAUUCUCAAGAGCUGGUGCUCUGCUUUGGUGAGUCACUGGAACCACAUGCACUCUGUUUACUAGAGUGCAGAAUGUGCUCGUGCCUUGCUACUUCCCGGCAUGAGUGACUUUGCCUUUAUGAAGCUCUAUGCAUACGAGAUGACGGUGGGAACUCGUCUCUGUAAGGCCAACACCUGAGCUACUGACGAAGGGAGUCUGCAGUGCAGUUGAGGUCUCAGCCCUGUGCCUUCAACCACUCUGGAGUAAUGCUGGGAGGAGCUCUCAGAUUGAUCCUUUCCAUAGCUUCCAAGGAUUUUUAGGAUUAUGGGAUUUAUGGACCUGCAAAAUCCUCUGGAGAACGUCAGCCAUCCACAAAACCAUCUGGAAAUUCUCCCUAUCUUUCCUGGGUCACUGAGUGUUGGGAAGGAGGCAUCUCUGCUCUGAGGAUUACAGCAAAUCAGUCGCUUGCCAUCCUUACUGGAAUACCUCCCCUUUCAGUUGCUCGGAACAGAGCAAUUAUUGCAGAAGGCAGAAGAAUAUUUUUUCCCUUUCUCUGAGCUUUUGCAGUGCAGCAGUGGCCAUGUCUGGAUCUGAAAGUCCUCAGGGUACCCUGUGCUGUGUGGUGCAGAGUUGUGGACAGCACUCAGCCCUUCCCUGUCCCAGGAAUGCUGGCCUGUUGCCUUCACUGAGCACCACUGGAUCCAUCUGCGUGCUCUCCGUCACUUUCUGUGGAGGAGAUCCUCCUUAUUGAAUGGGAAGGAUGCUGCUGCGUCACUUGCAUUCUUCACCCCUCCUGCCUUGUUGGGAAGGAGCAACCCUCCGAAGCCGGCGCGUCAAAAUUGUCCAUUUCAUUCCUCAACUUCCUGAAGCUGUCAGUGUGGGGUGAGCUGCAGGAGCUCUGAAUCCUUGGUGAGAGCGGGGUAAAACAGCAGAAGUGGCCUGAGCAGGAAUAACCCAACUUCAGAAGGGGAGGAAGUGAAUGUCUGACUACAACCUGCAUGCCUGUACUUAAGUAUGGCAGCGAUAGCCUGAGCAUGGUGAUCUUGAGCAUCAGUGUUGUUGCAGUGAUGGAAACAGCUGAUUCUAGAUAAAAAGAGGAAGAUUUGGUAGAAUAUAUCAUGAUAUUUUUUAGAUGCUUCAAAUUUUGUCUUUUUUCCACCAUGAUGUAAGUGCAGAGGUUGCUCCACUUUGAAUGGGUAUUUUACAUGAGCCUGCCUCUCAAAUUAAGUAGGAUCAUGUUUCUUCAGCAUUUAGUGUGAAUCUUGAUGCCUGGUGGUGUAUUUCAACCUUCCAAAGAGACAUGCAAGAAUAAAGCACGAUGAUUCACUGCAUACUAAAAUGCUCUACAUGUAAAAUAAUAAUGAUAAAUAAAUAGAAAAGUUGCUGUUUCAGCUUUGCAAUAAAACUAUAAAACUCACCAGCCAGUAAACAGUGGAUCUCCUGUUCCCAUGGAGAAGAGCUGCUGCAGACCUAAAAGCUUGCUGUGGGAAAGAAAAGAAAUAUAAAUCAAAAAGAUCCACUCAUGGUCUUGCAAACAAAGGUUGCCUUGGAUUGUGGUCACAUGUUGCCGUUCAGCUGAUCGAGUUCAUGCCAAAAGGGGAAAGAUUUCUAGUACUUGCUUGAACCCCACUGAACUGGUUUAGGGAAUUAAUUAGAGGAAAACUCUUCACCUUUGUUUUUUCCCUCGCUGGUUUUCUCCUAGACCCGAUGGCCCUGCGUGAACUCACCAGCCCAGCCACCCCUUCCAUGACUUGUGGCCACUGAGUGAACUUGACUGUGAUUUAAAUUGCACCCUCAGCAAAGGGGCUUUGGCUUCUCCCUGCUGAGGGAGAAGGAGCCUGCCAAAUACCCAAAUCUGAGCUUUGUAAAUCAUACCCAGCAAUUCUCGGUGGCCAACUUGCUUCAAGGAUAUAAGGAGGAGGAACACCUGCGAGACCUUCUGGGGGUGAAUUGCAACCCCUGUAUAUAUAAAAGGUGUUGAUAAGCUGGUGUUGCUGGCAACCCUCCUGGCCUGACCUAAUGCUCUGUGUGCAUAUGUUCUGUAAAUAAAGAUCAGGGCAGGCUUCUUCCCUUGAACACAUCCUCUGUCCACGCCUAUGGAGGUAUUCAGGAAACCUUCCUAAGGCUGGGCAUUGGAGGUUGCAUGAAAAUUUCCAAAAUCUUUGGCUUCACACAUUUGGUGUUAAGGUACAUACAUGUGUUGCAUGCAUCACGCGUAGUUUUGAGGACAAACUCAGUGCAGCAGGCUUAGCUCUCAUCCCAGGCAGUUUUCUCAGGGCUCUGGACUUGCAUCUAAUUUUUACAAAGCUCAUCAGAUGGCUGGUACCAGAGUGCUUUUCUUUGAGGGAUACUGUAUCAGCACAGUUGGGUAUUGGAUUGCUUUCCAGAAUUUUCUUGCCUUCCAUGCCUCGGGGCUUUUUUUGGCGAAGGUUCCAUCACACACUGAUCCUGCUGUCUUCUGUAGCAGAUGAGCCCUGGGUUCCUGGCUUGCACUUUCACCUAAGGGUGAAAGUGGUAGGAUGAAGUCGUAUAUCCAGACCUGUUAGUCUGGAGUACAAUGGUGGUGGUUAUAUGCCUCUUUUUUUUUUUUUUUUUUUUAACCUUGCAUUAGGGUGUGCUGAAGGAAGCAGGGAUGAAAACACUGUAGGUUGAAAUUACCCAGUAAAGAGCCUGAAUCAGCUGCAGAGGAUACUGAAAAUCUUGGUUACAGACCCUUUUUUUAUUUUUUCAAUAUUAUUAUAUCAUGCAGUGAAAAAGCAUAUCUGUUUCUUGGGUGAGGUCUUCCCGAGUUGACUGUGCUUCCCUGUGGCACGGCACACUUUCUUUGUAGCAUCCCGCAUGGGAGAUGAAAGGGUUUGAUGUAUACUGCCUUCAGGGCAGUGUGGAUUUCUCCUCAAAAACGCAGAUUCUAGUUUUAAAUGCCUAAAAAAUGAGACCUGUGCCUUAUCUCUUGGGAGAUCGUUGAUGGAUCCAUUCCUCAAAAAGAUAUUUUAUUCAUUCAAACUAUUCAGUUCUUUAAUUCAGUGCCACUCCCUUCAUUCGGAUGCCUGGAGUCUUUUAUCAUGUCUCCUCUUACUCAUUGCUUAGCCAAGUUAGACAUACUUAGUUCUUUUAAUCUUUCCUAGUAACUGAGUGUCUUUAAUCAUCGUGCUUGAUGUCAGAGUGUUUGAUGCCCACUUUUUCUGAAAGUAAGCCUGGAUUUUGUGUGUGUGCAAAUCACUUGGGAAGUGAUCCAGGAGAGCAGGAGUAGCUGAGCAGCUGCAGCUGGUUGCACAGGCUCACUCCUGGAUUCCUCAAAAGCUCCCUCAAAUAUCCCAGUGUGGGUGCUGAGGAAGAUUCUUGGCUCACCUCAUAUGCCAGCAGACUUGGCACGCUUGGGGAUUAAUUAAUGUUUUUGUUGGAUGUGGGCAGCAGCUCCCCUGAAGACGUCUCAUGGCUUGGCUUUCCAGAGGCACAUUUCUCUGGACUUCCAUGGAACUAAUUGAAGAUGCAGGUGUAGAUUAUGUUUGCAGAAAACAGGCCCAGAAAGGUUACUGAAACUUACAUUUCCUUCUCUUACCCUCAGCAACAAGAGCAAGAUAGAGGCUUAAUUUCUUUCUACAAAAUCAAUAGCAAAGCUAAGGGAUGGGUUGUUUUUUGGGAGCAGUGAUUUUGCUACAUGCUGUUAGUGCAGCUCAUCUACUCUUGCUGCAGGUAUUACUGUUGAUUUUCCAGAUGAGUUCAUAUAUUUGCACCUGAAAAUAAUCAUUCACAAAUUCUUAAAUCAGUGUGAAUGUAGGGAUUAUUGCUAUCUGUUACUGAGCUAUGCAGUGUAUCAUCUCAGCAUGGUGUCGUCAGACUUGGCUUUGUGGAGGUAAGCAUCUGCUUUCCUUCUUUGACACAGAAGUCCACAAUUUAUUCCAUCUUAUUUCAGUGGGAGCUGUUGGUAUUUCUCUGUUUCAGAAAGGCUGGCCUGAUCCAAGCCUAGUGUCGACUCACUUGGUUAAAUGCAGCACAUCUCUGGUUUGCUGGCGUCAGCACUGAGGGAGCUCGGGGUGGCACCUCUGAGUGAAGGAGGAGCAUGGACUUUGAAUCACACAGUAUUUGGCAGCAAAUUAAAGAAGGCCAAAGACUGCCUGUCCCUCCCCCUCAUCCUAUUCUGCAAGAAUGCUUCUCAUACUUCCCAAACUUAGCAGUGCAAAUGUCACUGGGUCUCGCUUGACUGAAAAAAGGAGAAAGGAGGAGUGUGUGCAGGGAGUUCAGGUCCCGCUGUGGCUUCUUGGGAAGUGAGGCAAGAGAAGAUGUGAACCAUCCACCACUCUUGCUGUAUGAAGGCAAGGGGUGCCUUUAUGACCUGCUACUUCUACUUCUCUGUCAGCUAUUCCUGGAAUGAUGGCCUGUGUCACUGGAGACUGCUUCAGAAAGUUUGUGAGACAGACAUUAAGUCUAGUGAAUGGAAGAAAAUAUUUGUCACUGUCUUUAUUUGUCACUGCACCCAUUGUCCUUAUUUCUAGAAAAAAAAGACUUAAGUUGCACAGCCAUCUUCUCUUCCUUCUUGACCUCCACCUCACAUCUUUCUGAAUGAGUAAUUCUGAAUGGAUUGGCAUCAAGAUGGCAUUUUGCCUUGCUUUGGGUAGCAUACAACUGAAAACUAAAAUUUCCUUCUGAGGUAAUCUGGUAGGGAUGGAUUUGGAUGGUGCUAGGGCCUUAAUGCUCCAACUUAAUAACAGGGGAAGAGGAAUCCAACAGCACCAACAUGCUCUUGGGGCAGAAAAGGAACCAGAUUUAACCCUAAGGUCAAGUCAUGGAGGAGAAAUGAUCCCUCGUGGUCAACUCCAACCUGAAGGAGCCCAAGGAGCAUGAUGGCUAUUUGACUGACCCAUCUUCUGGUUCUGUUCAGAAGAUGUUGUUCCUAUUUCAUGGACAUUAAUGACCUUUGUUUCAUUGUCGUGUCUUUAAGGACUCGAGAUGGUGUUUGCAGAGGAGGUACAGACCUGGUCUGCCAUGACCAUGUCAGUUUUAUGUAUUUGCAUAAUGUAAAUGCCAGCCCAGCUGAAUUGUGACAAGUGUAUUUGUUGUAGGCAAAUAAAGGUUUUCAAGAAGCUGUGGAGUUUCUAGUUUGAUAAUCUGAGAAUAGGUACUUUAAAAGGUAUGUUUUGUGGUAUGACAUGCAGGGUUAGUUCUUUCAAGACAAAAGAAGGAUAAAAGGAUGAAAUUAUUACAACCAAAUUUGACAUGUACCCUGACUACCAGUUUUGAGGUUGUCAGCUGAGGGAGGUGUUAUGUCUAAGCAGAGCAUCAGAGUCUCAUACAAGGGCCUUAGUGUGUUCAAUUUUACCUUGAUUUUACAUCAAGUUGCUGUGUUGUGGUUUAACCUGGCAGGCAGCUCAAUUCCACGUAGCCAUUUUCUCACCUCUCCUUCCCAGUGUGAUGGGGGAGAAAAUCAGAAAAAAAACCCAACAACACAAAACAGAGCUUGUUAGUUAAGAUAAAACUAUUAAAUAAAACAGAAAAGGAAAAGGAAAAAAAUAAUAGUAAAUAACCACAAAACAAGCGAUACACAACACAAUUAAUUGCUCACCACCCACUGGCAGAUGCUCAGCCAGUCCCCUGAACAGCUGCUACCCCCCCAGCCAACUCCCCACUGUUCUUCAAGUUUUUUUUUUGCAUGAUGCCAUAUGGUAUGGAAUAUCCCUUUGGCCAGUGUAGCUCAGCUGUCCUGGUUCUGCCCCCACCCAGCUCCUUCUGCCCCCGCAGUCCCCCUCACUGGCAGGACAGUACAAAGAAACUAAUAACUGAAACAUCCCUGGCUCUCUGCAGCACUCUCAGCAACAGAAGAAAUGGCCCAGCAGAAACCAGGACAUGCUGGACUGCAGAAAGAUGCGACUCUUAUUUUGAGGAGCACCACAGCUUGCCACCGGUUAAUCAGAUUAGCACUUGUGGUCCUCUUCCUCAGUACUGGGGCUGUUACUGUUGAUUUCAUCAAAACAUAUUCUUUUCUGUAAAGAAAGGAGUCCUUACAGUUUGGUGGAGGCCACAGAGGUGUCAAAACGUUGAGCCUGAGGUUUUUAACUUAUUGUCACCUUUUUCAGUGAGAGCUCUGCUGAAGCUGAAAAGGUUUCAGCAGUGUGAAAUUGCCGAAGGAAAGGAAACGCUCAACAUUUUCAGCUUCACAGUCACCCAAGCCAUAGCUAGUUCCGGAAGGGUCGAUGAGUGUAUGGACAUGAGUAAGCCUUCUGAGACUAGUGUGGGCUCUAUCAGACCUAGCAGGGCUUUCCCAGGUCAGACCCGGAGCUCUCCACUCGAGAUCUGAAUGUCACUGCAGCUGCACCUACAGGAAGGCUUUGGCUAACGCUGUACAGUAAAAAAUAUCUAUUGUUCCCUUAAUAGACAAAGCUGUAACAGGAAAAAUGUCUUAUGUCAACCUGGCCUUUGAAAUACAAAUGAGUAAGAGCAACCUCACUUUUAAAUGUCAUCAUGUGCUUUGUGUGCUCACUUUGUAAUUUGCUUUUCUGUGGUUACUGCAUUUCAGGGCUUUUGCUUCAAAUGAUGUUUCAACAAAAGGGAAAGGAAAAGAAAAGGCAUUUCUGGUGUUGCAUGGGGAGUUUUGUGGGGUUGCACUGACUCUGCUUCUACUUUUAAGCAUCAAGACAGGCAUUUUUUUCCUAUAAAGUACCUGCUGAUGGUGGAAAUACCGGAAGCCUUGUUUUCUUAUUUCAUGAAGUUUGAGAGAAAGGUGCAUGAAGGAGCACUGUGCAUCUCUGCUUAGCAAGCUUGGCUUUUUCUAUAUGCCCCACGUCUGAUUCAGAGUCCUUUGGGUCCUGGUGGCUUGCAGUGACAUAAUGAAACUUCCUCUUGGUGAGGAUGGACAUCCAGUGCUUGCAGCAUGGCAUGUGCCAUCCAAGUACCCUGCUUGCCAAAUCGCCUUGUUUUGUUCAUUGUCUUCUGGAUGGGGCACCUUUGGGGUUGCUUGAAGUCCUGCAUCUGCUUGGUGGGCAUCUAUUCCUUCAAAGUGAAUCUUGAAGUGUGUGCAGAACUGAUUCUGGAAUUGAGUAGGUCCUUCUUCAGGUGGAACAAACUGUUAUUUGGAGUUACACUAUGAUGGGCUGACUGGUUUGGCUGUUUUUGGUCUGUUUGUGAUUAAAUCUGAUGGUGACAAUAAAAACAGAACAAAAAAUGAUGUGAAAAGUGAAUAAAAGCCUUGGAAGGAUAUUUUGGGUUGCCAGAGGAUCUUAAUCCACAGAAAAUUAAUUGUUUUAAAGUAAUUCAAUGACUAGUUUGAGUCGGCUUUGCAGACUCCUGUCUGAGCAAUGGACAUUUCUGUGGAAUUAAUCAGAAGGAACUGCAGUUUCUUUUACCAUGGGCAAAAAUAGCCCUCAGACUGAGGACAACGUGUAAUAGCAAUGACUGUAGCUGUUGACUUAGCCAGAAAUUCACAGCCAGUAAUAAACACAAAAAUCAUCAGGAAAUAUGGACUGCUGAAUCUGUGCUGAAAUUCGCUCAGCUUUAUUGCGGUGAGUGGGUAAGGGGGUGAGAAAGGAGUUUUAGGGUGAGGUGCUGAGACUGGAGGCGUACUGUGAGGUGGGAUGGAAUUGGUGGGACAAGACAGCAUGGCAUGGGAUGGGAUAGCAGGGGAUGGCAUGGCAUGGCAUGGUAUGGGGUGGCAUUGGAUGCUACAGGGUAGGAUGUCCAUGUACAUGCAGGGGAGUGGCAGAUCCACAGUUCAUCUGUCCUGGGAUUCAGCAGUUUGCAGAGUUGAAGGCCAGUCAGUGGUAAUGCUUGCACUGUUCUAAUUUGAUAAGGUGGAUGAUCUGUUUUGAAAACAAGAAUGGGGGGAGUGGACGUUUUUUUCCCACUUUGUUGAUGCUGAAAUACCAUGUUUCAAUGUCCUGUGUUUUAGGAUAUUUAGAUGUACUUUACAACUUGAUUUUGUAUUUUUCAUGUUUAUCUGCCACUCAAAGUGAGCUGCAUUUGAAGUAGCUGUUGAAACUCCCCAGGCUGCCCUGGAACCGCUACAUCAUCCUGGUAGCAGCCCUGGGCAGGGAGGAGAUGCUCUCCACUUUCAGGUGGCCCAGAGAAGGGCUCGUCCUACUCUGACUUUCAUGGCUCAGCUGGUGCAAAACUAUGUUCAUGCCAUGAGGGAGACUGAAUUUAUCCUGUCAGGUGUCUAGAAAGGGGUGAUAUGAGCAGCAUCGUGUUCUCACUUUGUUUUAGCACUCACAGCCUUGCAGACCUCGUAUUUUGACAUUUUCCGAAUUGGUUGGUAAUAUGCAGUGGGCUUUCAGCUCAUUCUCCAAUUUUUCUGUCUUUCAGUGAAGAUUUUCCCCUUUCUGCUUUAAGCAUGUAACUUAAAACCACAAACAGUCUGGUGAUGUGGAGCAGGCUGCUGGUGCUCAUCCCCGUGGCACUUAAAGCCCAGAGAAUGGUUUAAGUGGGAAGAUUCUACAGAAAGUGGUCAAAUUAUAAAAUGGCUUAGGAUGGAAGGGACAUAAAAAUCAUCACAGAAUCACAGAAUCACAGAAUUGUAGGCGUUGGAAGGGACCUCCAGAGGUCAUUGAGUCCAAUCCCCCUGCCAAAGCAGGUUCUCUACAUCAAGUUCCUGCCAUGGGCAGGGCUGCCCCCCACCAGCUCAGGCUGCCCAGGGCCCCAUCAAUCCUGGCCUUGAAUGCCUCAGGAGAUGGGGCAUCCACAGCUUUUUUUGUGCCAACCAUCCCAGUGCCUCAUCACUCUCUGUGUAAAGAAUUCCUUCCUCACAGUGCCAUUUCUGGGGUGAAGCCCCAGCCCUGCCACUCACCACAGCCUCCUACGAGGCGCCUGCACACAAAAAGCUGGGAUUUAGUGUGGCAAAACAAGGAGUUGUGAAGAGGCUUGGGGACAGCAAGUCUGUGCCAGCUCACAGUUUUGUGUAAGUUAAAUAAAUGUUGUCUUUUGAAGGAAGGUGUUGAAAUGCUCCUGUGGCCUGUUAAAAACAGUGGUGCGUUGGGUGAAGAGCUGCCAUCCCCUUUUUCCAUUUCCUUCUCCAUUUCUCUUUCCAUUUCCUUUUCUGUUUCCAUUAAUAACUAAGUUUUUCUGCUUCAUGCUUCUUUAACUUUUUGUUCACUUACGACUUUCAAGGUGUGCUUUUACUGAGUUUAAAUGCUUUGCCUUUGCUUUGUUGAAAAUCACACCAGUCAGUUGAAUGACUGCUGUUAUCUCAGGUUUCCCCGGGUCUUCCCAUGGGCUGCUUUUGAUUUCAAAGGUACAUUUGUUGUAAAAAGGAAGAUUUCCACAAAAAUGCCCAUUGCACCUUCGUCUUGUUCACACAGGGCUCCUGUUGAGCAGCUGUCCCAUUUUACCGAGCAGCUGGAGUUAGAGGCUGAUUAAAGGAGUGGGAAACCUCUUUUCAUUUAUUUCUGCUGCAUGUAUGUAACUAUGGGUGUGCUCUGCUUUUGGGUGAGCUCUGCUUUUGGGUGAGCUCUGCAGGGAAGACGUGCUUAACGUGACUGAGCCUCUUCUUUUAUAAGUUCAGAAUUGAUCCACAUUUACCACUUGCUUCUUCUUUGAGAGCUUUUGGUGAAGGGGAUUAGUUAAAUCCACAUUUUUCCUUCAGUUAGUUUUGCUCUGGGGUGGAGCUCAUCGAAUAAAGUCCUCCUGGGGAUGAUGUGGGAAUGAGAAGGGUGAUGGGCAUGUCACUUUGUCUCCAUGCACCUCAUGGUUCUCAGCACUGGGUGCUCCUCCUGCUCAGCACUGACCACCUUCGCUCCUUCUUCAUGCUAAGAUAGCUGCAUUUCAGCUGAGGCUGCACAGCACCUCUCCAUACACUUUUUUUUUUAACAUGAAUUUGCAAGGGAAGGUUGGUUGAUGUUGGAUCCAAGGCUCUUCCCUAUUGUCAUGUUGCAGAAGAGCAACAAAGCUGCCAAAACUGCUGGGAGUGAAAAGUGUUAGGUCUCAGUGUCUGCAUUUGGUCCAGAAACAGAAAAUGGGAGCAGACUGAGUCUGAUGGAUCUGGCAGCCCAUGAACUCCCCCCUUUACUUGCUUUCCUUGUAUAAUUACAGUAAUGGAAGUCACUGACACUGCCCAGCUGAAGAGGAGCUGCAUGGUUUUGCUGGGCAUUGCAGGCACUUCCUAAUGCAUCAGCGCCGGUGAGACUCGUGGGUGCAGCCUUCACCCUGUCCCUACCAACAGGCUCCAGUCUGGCUGCUCCCAUCUAAUAGCUGGGAAAUUAGGGCUGGGAGCGAGCAAGAACUGCUUGCAGUGAUGCAGAGGGCUUCAGUGGUGAAGCAGAGGCUGAAACUCAAGCAGGGAGCAUAUGAAUGAGGUGCUGAGCACUUUGGAUUGGCAUGAUGCACUUCCACAGCCUUGCAGGAUACUUGUGUAAUUUUUCAGAUAGAUGAAGCAGUAACUAAGCCAGCUGUGACUCCACCAAAACAAUUUCCAAUGACAGUAUUGAAGGAAAAUAGAAAAAUCAAACAUUGAAGUGUAUGGAGGUCUGCCUCAGGCAGUUUUCAGUGCCUACAGGGCAGGGAGCUGGGGAGAGGAGGAGUUAGAUGGGUUAAAGUCCAGAGAAGGAUAUUGAAAUACAUGAGCCAUCCCUGGGAAAGGUGGAUCUGCAAGCACUGGGUGAAAGAGCAUGAGGAGGGGGGUGGGUUAGGUGGGGGUGUGGAUUCCAGGAAAGAAUUUAUUUCUUAGAUUGCAGAUGCUUGAUGCUAUUAGCAUCCAAAUGGCUCCUGCUGCCCUUUGAAGUCAGCAUCUCAUUGAGAAGUAAAGAGUAAAAGAGGUGUGGGGAAUAAUGAAUUUAUUUCAUUUCUGGCUGGUGAAUAAAUUUCUUUGCAAUGUUGAGUUAGCAACGAGACCGUGCAUGGUUUAUUUUGGGAGCACUGUUUCUUGGAAACAUGAGGCAUUUAUCACUUCUAUGAUUCUAUGACUUUGUACUUUGGCUGUUUUUGUUGUUGUUGUUUUGCUGUUUUGUUAUGGGGUUUUUUUUGUGUGUCUUAAUACUCAAACUUGCAUUAUACAGAAGACAGCAGAAAACCACAAAACUGGAGCCUCAGUAAUUUCUUUACACCCACCAUUUGCCAGUAUUCUGGAUUGGAAACCAACCACAGCAGCUACUGACAGUCUCAUUCCUCCUCCAUGUGAACCUCCUUCCAGGGAACUGUGAUAAUUCCCACCUCCAUUUCCUUUGCAGACUGGGGUUUCAUGACCAUUAAACCUCUUCCUGGAACCAUGGGAUGGCCCCACAGUGCUUUUGAUCCAGGUCAGAUGUGCGCUUCUCUGUGGGAUGAGAGUCCAGCAAGUCCAGCCAUCAGAACCUACCUAGACCCGAUGGAGCUGCAUGCUCUGACUCGUCCCUACCAAAAUGUCCCCACACCCUGCCCCAAGGCUGUGCAUUCCUGGGUGCUGGUUGCCUGUGCCUCAUGAAGUCUUUCCACCAAACUCAUCAGUUUGGCUUCGUUCUGCAUCACCACACUGACACUGUGCAAGCUGCAAGCCACCAAACUGUACCUUUGAGCCAUCUCAUGGGGCACAUGUCUCACAGUGGCUUGGCUGCUGGGCCACGCAGCGUGGGAUGCGCAGCACACUGUGAGGAGAGCACUAAGCUGGGAGAAUAGCGUCCCUAAUUCAGGUUGAUGCUGGAGCUCUUUCUGCAGACCAUUUCAAAGGGCGUUUUGUUUUUUCUCUUCAUUCACUGUUCACAAGUGUUCUUUCACUUGUGCAUUUUGUGCAAUUUUAAAAGCUUCUUGCAUGUAUUCCUUUCCUCUUAUCCUAGAUUAAGUGGCUGUCUUCUCUUCUUUCUUAGCUGGCUUGUUCAUGCAGAGGCAGGGAGUAGCAAAACAUGUUUUUCCUUCUGAAAAGAGAGAAAAUAAAUAUGUUUGAUACCUGAGAAUAGUUUUUACUGUUCAUCUGAGGCAGCUUGAAAUCCUUAGGGAAAAUCAGAAUUGUUCCAUUAGGAUGAGCUGCUUGCAAGCAUCCUGCCAAACUGGAACAGCCCUUCAAGCUGUACUGAAAUGAAUUAAAACUCUCCACAGAUAAGCACAGCAUAGGGUAUAAUUUUAUUUCAACAGAUGGAAAAAGUCCAGUACAUCAUCUCCUUUUAUUUCAGUGUGUGGUUGUCUUGUCACCCAUGUACAUAUAGAAGUAUGCUUUCUUCACAUGUAUUUGCUGAGGCACUCAAGCUAAAUGUGAUUGAGCCUGGUGGUUGCUGGGAUGGUUCAUCAUGCAUGUCCAGGUGCCAUCUGUACACAGGGAAGCUGGCGGUGCAGUAAAUGGCUGUUUUCCUUCCUAUAAGAAAUGCAUGUUGGCAUUGCUUUUUGAUGAUCGCUUAGGAUCUUAAAGUUUUUGUGCUUUCACAUUUAUUUUUGUGAUGGCUAAAUUUCAGUUCACUUAAUUCCCUGUGAACAAUUCUUCUUUUGUUAAAUAAACUAUUCCUUGCAAACCAUA